This 26-nucleotide non-coding RNA is filed under the name Rattus norvegicus (Norway rat). Lineage: Eukaryota; Metazoa; Chordata; Mammalia; Rodentia; Muridae. The record is from RNAcentral.
UUGAAUGAAACCCCAAUCUCCUCCCA